UGCAAAUGAAAAGCAGCUAUUAUCCUCAAAACUAAAGACCUCGAUCUUACACGAUAAUUAUACCAGACAAUGGGUUUAAAUUUCCAAACAGUGGAUAUUAAUCCACCACACUGGAAUGCUCUCUAAAGGGUUCAAUGCUAGCUGACUCCUAUAUAGCGGCCUAAGGCAUAUGCAUCAGCUUUAUCGGGACGCAAUAGCUAUUGUACGCUGCUUUGGUAGGCCAUUAUUCAUUACUUUUACAUGCAACCCUAAAUGGGAUAAAAUUAUGCAUGAAUUAUUU
This is a long non-coding RNA of Gordionus sp. m RMFG-2023, 280 nucleotides long. RefSeq lists it as uncharacterized. The record is from RefSeq and is a predicted model, not a curated record. The transcript is spliced from 3 exons. Lineage: Eukaryota; Metazoa; Nematomorpha; Gordioida; Chordodea; Parachordodidae.